RNAcentral lists this ribosomal RNA (665 nucleotides) under Umbelopsis isabellina. RNAcentral's name for it is "eukaryotic LSU rRNA". It matches the Rfam family "Eukaryotic large subunit ribosomal RNA", at positions 58 to 648 of the family's 3401-position model. The record is from RNAcentral. Lineage: Eukaryota; Fungi; Mucoromycota; Umbelopsidomycetes; Umbelopsidales; Umbelopsidaceae.
AAAGAACNCCANCCUUCCCCUAGUAACGGCGAGUGAAGCGGGAAGAGCUCAAAUUUAAAAUCUGGCUUGCUUGCAAGUCCGAGUUGUAGUCUGAAGAAACGUUUUCCAUGAAAGCUGAGGCACAAGUCCUUUGGAACAGGGCAUCAUAGAGGGUGAGAAUCCCGUCCAUGGUCUCAUGCAUUUUAUUUUGUGAUACGUUUUCUAAGAGUCAGGUUGUUUGGGAAUGCAGCCUAAAAUGGGUGGUAAAUUUCAUCUAAAGCUAAAUAUUGGCGAGAGACCGAUAGCGAACAAGUACCGUGAGGGAAAGAUGAAAAGAACUUUGAAAAGAGAGUUAAAAAGUACGUGAAAUUGUUGAAAGGGAACCGUUUGAAGCCAGUCUUGCUUACUUGUGAUCAAUCUUAACUUCGGUUUGGAUGCACUCUCGAGUUAUGCAGGUCAACGUCAGUUUGAGAGGUGGGAAAAAAGUUUGAGGAAUGUGGCCUUCGGGUGUUAUAGCCUCUUACUAAAUACCAUCUCCUGGACUGAGGCUCGCAGCAAAAAUGUGGGUUGGUUUGCUCCUGAGGUGAAUCAUUAUUAAGACAGCUUGCUGACCUUAGUUUUGUGGAUCUUCACGGUAGACCAGCUUCUAAUUUGCUUAGGUCGUUGACAUAAUGGCUUUAAAUGAC